Molecule: small nuclear RNA, 312 nt
Filed under: Spermophilus dauricus (Daurian ground squirrel)
Lineage: Eukaryota; Metazoa; Chordata; Mammalia; Rodentia; Sciuridae
Description: 7SK RNA (ENSSDAG00000011902.1)
Rfam family: 7SK RNA
About the family: 7SK was discovered as an abundant small nuclear RNA in the mid-70s but a possible function has only recently been suggested.
Source: Rfam by way of RNAcentral
AGAUAUGUGAGUAAUUUGGCCAUGUCAUCUAUCAUUCCAUUGAUUUCCAGGCUUAAUUUGGCUAAUCUGGCUGACUUGGAGCAUUCCUUUUUCUCCCCCACCACUCCAUAUGCAGCCCUUUUGAAGCUACAUAGUUAGUUUAAGUGAGGACCUUCCCCCAAUAGAGGAGGACCAAUAGAAGAGAACCAUUUUUGGUUAAGGCUAUAUGAAUAGCUGCACUUCCCUGAUAGAACCUCCCAAAAAGUUCUCAAAAUACUCAAAGGAAAAUUAAAUGACUAAUAAAGAGCAUUGUAUCUGGCAAGGCUGUACUGA